Molecule: unclassified non-coding RNA, 298 nt
Organism: Callithrix jacchus (white-tufted-ear marmoset)
Lineage: Eukaryota; Metazoa; Chordata; Mammalia; Primates; Cebidae
Rfam family: Metazoan signal recognition particle RNA
About the family: The signal recognition particle (SRP) is a universally conserved ribonucleoprotein. It is involved in the co-translational targeting of proteins to membranes. The eukaryotic SRP consists of a 300-nucleotide 7S RNA and six proteins: SRPs 72, 68, 54, 19, 14, and 9.
Source: Ensembl
GCCGGACACGGUGGUACGUGCCUGUCACCCCAGCUACUCAGGAGGCUGAGGCAGGAGGAUCGCUUGAGCCCAGGAGUUCUGGGCUGUAGUGCACUAUGCCGAUCGGGUGUACGCUCUAAGUUCUGCAUCAAUCUGGUGACCUCCCGGGAGUGAGGGACCACCAGGUUGCCUAAGGAGGGGAACCAGCCCAGCUUGGAAAUGGAGCAGGUCAAAACUCCCGUGCUGAUAAGUGGUGGGAUCACGCCUGUGAAGAGCUGCUGGACUCCAGCCUGGGCAACAUAGCGAGACACCAUCUCUC